CACGUGAGCAACCUACCCUUGACACUGGAUAACAGUUGGAAACAGCUGCUAAUACCGGAUACGAACUCAGCAGGCAUCUGCCGAGUUGGAAAGCUCCGACGGUCAAGGAUGGGCUCGCGGCCUAUCAGCUUGUUGGUGAGGUAACGGCUCACCAAGGCGACGACGGGUAGCCGGCCUGAGAGGGCGACCGGCCACACUGGGACUGAGAUACGGCCCAGACUCCUACGGGAGGCAGCAGUGGGGAAUAUUGCGCAAUGGGCGAAAGCCUGACGCAGCAACGCCGCGUGCGGGAUGACGGCCUUCGGGUUGUAAACCGCUUUCAGCAGGGACGAAACUGACGGUACCUGCAGAAGAAGCACCGGCUAACUACGUG
Molecule: ribosomal RNA, 373 nt
Filed under: uncultured bacterium
Lineage: Bacteria
Description: bacterial SSU rRNA
Rfam family: Bacterial small subunit ribosomal RNA
Source: RNAcentral